RNAcentral lists this ribosomal RNA (465 nucleotides) under uncultured bacterium. RNAcentral's name for it is "partial 16S ribosomal RNA". It matches the Rfam family "Bacterial small subunit ribosomal RNA", at positions 29 to 507 of the family's 1533-position model. The record is from RNAcentral.
ACGAACGCUGGCGGCGCGCCUAACACAUGCAGGUCGAACGAGCGAGAGAGAGCUUGCUUUCUUGAGCGAGUGGCGAACGGGUGAGUAACGCGUGAGGAACCUGCCUCAAAGAGGGGGACAACAGUUGGAAACGACUGCUAAUACCGCAUAAGCCCACGACCCGGCAUCGGGUUGAGGGAAAAGGAGCAAUCCGCUUUGAGAUGGCCUCGCGUCCGAUUAGCUAGUUGGUGAGGUAACGGCCCACCAAGGCGACGAUCGGUAGCCGGACUGAGAGGUUGAACGGCCACAUUGGGACUGAGACACGGCCCAGACUCCUACGGGAGGCAGCAGUGGGGAAUAUUGCACAAUGGGGGAAACCCUGAUGCAGCGACGCCGCGUGGAGGAAGAAGGUCUUCGGAUUGUAAACUCCUGUUGUUGAGGAAGAUAAUGACGGUACUCAACAAGGAAGUGACGGCUAACUACGUG